RNAcentral lists this non-coding RNA (29 nucleotides) under Mus musculus (house mouse). Lineage: Eukaryota; Metazoa; Chordata; Mammalia; Rodentia; Muridae. The record is from RNAcentral.
UCUUACCUUGCUUAGAUUUGUUACCACUC